Acanthosepion pharaonis is the source of this 113-nucleotide non-coding RNA. The record is from the annotation of a GenBank genome assembly. Lineage: Eukaryota; Metazoa; Mollusca; Cephalopoda; Sepiida; Sepiidae.
AUACGACCAUAUCACGUUGAAACACCGGUUCUUGUCCGAUCACCGAAGUUAAGCAAUAUCAAACCUCGUCAGUACCUAGAUGGAGGAUCGUUUGGAAUAUCAGGGGUUGUAUU